GACAGAUCAUCAACCGGGUCAUGGGGAUGCGGUCAACCUUCCAAACACGUCACACCGACAGAUUGUAGACUUAUCUACAUUCAAGGAGGAUGUCAAGAAAGGCUUCCACUGCAGGCAGCUCAACUGAAGGUGGCCAACAACCAAACCUUAACCCUUCUGAAAAGAAGAAAAGAAAGACCAGACCAGCAGGACAUCCAGAUCCUCUUGCAGAGGUGGUGGCCCUGCAGCCUGAUGAUCUACUGGCCAUCGGCCAGUUUGUCUGCUACGUGUGUGGUAAGGGCUUUCAGCGUGAUCAGAAUCUGUUGCUCCACAUGCGAACCCACAACAUGA
Zingiber officinale is the source of this 330-nucleotide long non-coding RNA. RefSeq lists it as uncharacterized. Lineage: Eukaryota; Viridiplantae; Streptophyta; Magnoliopsida; Zingiberales; Zingiberaceae. The record is from RefSeq and is a predicted model, not a curated record. The transcript has 3 exons.